AGAUGUAAAGGUGACCUGGCUUUUGCAUCUGUCACCCCAUUGAUUGUCAGGGUUAAUUUGCCUGCUCUGCCUAGCUAAGUGGAUGUCCCCUUCUUUCCUCACUGCCCCAUGUUCAUUCCUCCCAUGCUUCCUAAAGCUGUGCACUCCAUCAAAGAAAAUGACCUUCCCCAAUAGAGGAGGACUGUUCUUCAGUCAAGAAUACACAAGUAAUUAUGCUCCCUUGCUAAACCUCCAGAUAAGCUCUCAAGGUCCAUUUGUAGAACGUGGGUCGUCCAAGUUCCUGUGAUUCCAAAUGAGGCACUGUGCAUGGCAGUCUGCCUUUCUUU
This 326-nucleotide small nuclear RNA is filed under the name Castor canadensis (American beaver). Its description in RNAcentral is "7SK RNA (ENSCCNG00000020763.1)". It matches the Rfam family "7SK RNA". From Rfam's summary of the family: 7SK was discovered as an abundant small nuclear RNA in the mid-70s but a possible function has only recently been suggested. The record is from Rfam by way of RNAcentral. Lineage: Eukaryota; Metazoa; Chordata; Mammalia; Rodentia; Castoridae.